Small nuclear RNA from Erinaceus europaeus (western European hedgehog), 105 nucleotides. Lineage: Eukaryota; Metazoa; Chordata; Mammalia; Eulipotyphla; Erinaceidae. The record is from Ensembl.
GUACACAUUUCAAUAGGACAUAAACCCAAUUUGGAAUGCUAUCAGAGAUCAGCAUGGUCUCUGAGCAAGAAUGACAAACAAGUUUGGGACAUAUUCUAUAUAUAA